UCCCUGAGUAAAGUGGCGUACUGGUGAGUAACACGUGGAUGAUCUACCUCUUGGUGGGGAAUAACCUGGGGAAACCUGGGCUAAUACCGCAUAAGUUCGUGAGAAGAAAGCCGCAAGGCGCCGGGAGAGGAGUCCGCGGUCGAUUAGGUAGUUGGUGGGGUAAGAGCCCACCAAGCCAAAGAUCGAUAGCCGGCCUGAGAGGGCACACGGCCACACUGGCACUGAAACACGGGCCAG
RNAcentral lists this ribosomal RNA (237 nucleotides) under uncultured bacterium. Its description in RNAcentral is "partial 16S ribosomal RNA". It matches the Rfam family "Bacterial small subunit ribosomal RNA", at positions 83 to 334 of the family's 1533-position model. The record is from RNAcentral.